UAGUCCACGCCGUAAACGAUGAAUGCUAGUCGUCAGGGGGCAUGCCCUUUGGUGACGCAGCUAACGCAUUAAGCAUUCCGCCUGGGGAGUACGAUCGCAAGAUUAAAACUCAAAGGAAUUGACGGGGGCCCGCACAAGCAGUGGAGCAUGUGGUUUAAUUCGAAGCAACGCGCAGAACCUUACCACCACUUGACAUUACCAUCGCGAUUUCCGGAGACGGAUUUCUUCAGUUCGGCUGGAUGGAUAACAGGUGCUGCAUGGUUGUCGUCAGCUCGUGCCGUGAGGUGUCAGGUUAAGUCCUAUAACGAGCGCAACCCCUACCGUUAGUUGCCAGCAUGUAAAGAUGGGGACUCUAGCGGGACUGCCAGUGCAAACUGUGAGGAAGGUGGGGAUGACGUCAAAUCAUCACGGCCCUUACGCCCUGGGCUACACACGUGCUACAAUGGUACAGACAGAGAGCAGCCACUACGCGAGUAGGAGCGAAUCUUA
Molecule: ribosomal RNA, 489 nt
Filed under: uncultured bacterium
Lineage: Bacteria
Description: bacterial SSU rRNA
Rfam family: Bacterial small subunit ribosomal RNA
Source: RNAcentral